AACGCGAAGAACCUUACCUGGGCUAGAAAACGUCAGAAUCUGGGAGAAGUCUCGGAGUGCCCUUCGGGGAACUGGCGGUUAGGUGCUGCAUGGCUGUCGUCAGCUCGUGUCGUGAGAUGUUGGGUUAAGUCCCGCGACGAGCGCAACCCCUAUCAUUAGUUACCAGCGGGUCAUGCCGGGAACUCUAAUGAGACCGCCGAUAUUCAAAUCGGAGGAAGGUGGGGACGACGUCAAAUCAUCAUGCCCCUUAUGUCCUGGGCUGCACGCAUGCUACAAUGGCCGGUACAAAGGGCUGCGAUACCGUGAGGUGGAGCGAAUCCCAUAAAGCCGGUCUCAGUUCGGAUCGGGGUCUGCAACUCGACCCCGUGAAGUCGGAGUCGCUAGUAAUCGCAGAUCAGCAAUGCUGCGGUGAAUACGUUCCCGGGUCUUGUACACACCGACACCGCGUUCCCGGGUCUUGUACACACCGA
Molecule: ribosomal RNA, 470 nt
Filed under: uncultured soil bacterium
Lineage: Bacteria
Description: bacterial SSU rRNA
Rfam family: Bacterial small subunit ribosomal RNA
Source: RNAcentral